Molecule: non-coding RNA, 202 nt
Filed under: Mesobacillus selenatarsenatis SF-1
Lineage: Bacteria; Bacillati; Bacillota; Bacilli; Caryophanales; Bacillaceae
Description: Bacillus selenatarsenatis SF-1 Bacterial small subunit ribosomal RNA
Rfam family: Bacterial small subunit ribosomal RNA
Source: Rfam by way of RNAcentral
UUAUUGGAGAGUUUGAUCCUGGCUCAGGACGAACGCUGGCGGCGUGCCUAAUACAUGCAAGUCGAGCGGAUCUUCAUUAGCUUGCUUUUGAAGAUCAGCGGCGGACGGGUGAGUAACACGUGGGCAACCUGCCUGUAAGACUGGGAUAACUUCGGGAAACCGGAGCUAAUACCGGAUAAUCCUUUCCCUCACAUGAGGGAAA